RNAcentral lists this ribosomal RNA (552 nucleotides) under uncultured bacterium. RNAcentral describes it as "partial 16S ribosomal RNA". It matches the Rfam family "Bacterial small subunit ribosomal RNA", at positions 355 to 902 of the family's 1533-position model. The record is from RNAcentral.
UGGGGAAUUUUGGACAAUGGGCGAAAGCCUGAUCCAGCAAUGCCGCGUGUGUGAAGAAGGCCUUCGGGUUGUAAAGCACUUUUGUCCGGAAAGAAAUCCUUGGCUCUAAUACAGUCGGGGGAUGACGGUACCGGAAGAAUAAGCACCGGCUAACUACGUGCCAGCAGCCGCGGUAAUACGUAGGGUGCAAGCGUUAAUCGGAAUUACUGGGCGUAAAGCGUGCGCAGGCGGUUUGCUAAGACCGAUGUGAAAUCCCCGGGCUCAACCUGGGAACUGCAUUGGUGACUGGCAGGCUAGAGUAUGGCAGAGGGGGGUAGAAUUCCACGUGUAGCAGUGAAAUGCGUAGAGAUGUGGAGGAAUACCGAUGGCGAAGGCAGCCCCCUGGGCCAAUACUGACGCUCAUGCACGAAAGCGUGGGGAGCAAACAGGAUUAGAUACCCUGGUAGUCCACGCCCUAAACGAUGUCAACUGUUGUUGGGGAUUCAUUUCCUAGUAACGUAGCUAACGCGUGAAGUUGACCGCCUGGGGAGUACGGUCGCAAGAUUAAAACUU